GCAUUCCUCUUUGACGAUACCCGUCCAUUGGCACAAGGCACAAUGGGUUGGGCAGUCAUUCUAAGAGAAGCGUGAACGCUAGACAAGGGCAAAAAAGAGGAUCCGGUAAGACCCCUUUGCCCAUAUCAGGUUCCAUAUCCAAGAUACCAAGCAAUGCUCAAUGGGCCACAACAUCAAUGCAAGCAUCAACGAUAUGGUGCAAAGAGACAGCUUCAGGGUUCAUCUUAUGCCACCUAAAUGACACAAAAUGAAGUUGGCUUCGAUUGACAAACGAUACCUUAAGAUAGGUAGGCAACACAGGAAACCCACAACUUGCAUAGGCAUUUAGAGCCUAAGCAUGCGUCUGAAGAGGUAAGUCGGGUGGCAGUUGUUGCGCAAGCAAA
Molecule: unclassified non-coding RNA, 383 nt
Filed under: Dugesia mexicana
Lineage: Eukaryota; Viridiplantae; Streptophyta; Magnoliopsida; Asterales; Asteraceae
Description: partial external transcribed spacer
Source: RNAcentral